This 497-nucleotide ribosomal RNA is filed under the name uncultured bacterium. RNAcentral's name for it is "partial 16S ribosomal RNA". It matches the Rfam family "Bacterial small subunit ribosomal RNA", at positions 28 to 507 of the family's 1533-position model. The record is from RNAcentral.
GACGAACGCUGGCGGCGUGCCUAAUACAUGCAAGUUGAGCGCUGAAGGUUGGUACUUGUACCAACUGGAUGAGCAGCGAACGGGCGAGUAACGCGUGGGGAAUCUGCCUUUGAGCGGGGGACAACAUUUGGAAACGAAUGCUAAUACCGCAUAAAAACUUUAAACACAAGUUUUAAGUUUGAAAGAUGCAAUUGCAUCACUCAAAGAUGAUCCCGCGUUGUAUUAGCUAGUUGGUGAGGUAAAGGCUCACCAAGGCGAUGAUACAUAGCCGACCUGAGAGGGUGAUCGGCCACAUUGGGACUGAGACACGGCCCAAACUCCUACGGGAGGCAGCAGUAGGGCAUCUUCGGCAAUGGACGAAAGUCUGACCGAGCAACGCCGCGUGAGUGAAGAAGGUUUUCGGAUCGUAAAACUCUGUUGGUAGAGAAGAACGUUGGUGAGAGUGGAAAGCUCAUCAAGUGACGGUAACUACCCAGAAAGGGACGGCUAACUACGUG